UACGUAGGGUGCAAGCGUUGUCCGGAAUUAUUGGGCGUAAAGAGCUCGUAGGCGGUUCGUCGCGUCGGCUGUGAAAACCCGGAGCUCAACUCCGGGCCUGCAGUCGAUACGGGCGGACUUGAGUGUUGCAGGGGAGACUGGAAUUUCCGGUGUAGCGGUGAAAUGCGUAGAUAUCGGAAGGAACAUCAGUGGCGAAAGCGACUUCCUGGACCAAUACUGACGCUCAGGUGCGAAAGCGUGGGGAGCAAACAGG
Molecule: ribosomal RNA, 253 nt
Filed under: uncultured bacterium
Lineage: Bacteria
Description: partial 16S ribosomal RNA
Rfam family: Bacterial small subunit ribosomal RNA
Source: RNAcentral